GUCUGUGUUCCAGUUCAUCCCAAAGCUGUUGGACGGGGUUGAGGCCAGGACUACAGUAUCUAUUUUUCAGCUCUGGACCCAUACGUUCUCUUAAAUAAUAAUCUUUCUGCUUUACUUCCAACAUUUUUAUCAAUGUGAGAGACUUGGAGCUCCUGUUUUUUCUGCUUUUGUGUGUCAAGUGUGUUCUGAGUUUCUCUGCACCCCCAUCACCAAGACGACGUCCUGCACAUUUCCUGCACUUGAGUGAAUAACUGAACAAAAAGGAUCUUGAAGCAACCUUCCCGUUUUAGCAGAAAAUUGACAGAGAGAGAGAGAGAGAGAGAAAAAAAGAGAGAGAGUCUGCGCGCCAUGGAAACACUGCCGCUGUGUUUUUCUCAAUGAAAGAUCAACAAGUCCUUUUAUGGACUUCCUUCCUCAGUGGGGACAGAUGAUUGAGAUAAAAAAAAGAUGAAGGGAAGAGAGAGAGAGAGCAGGUGGAAGGAAGGAGGGAGAGAAAAAAAGGGAAAAGAUGCAGAUGUGAAGAAUGGUCUGAUUAGCCACCUGUCGUUCGUCAUUCAGACCUGUAAUCAGCUCGUGGCCACGAGUUACCACCUGUUAUUAUUAUGGUCUGUCGGAUGUAAGCGAGACGGGGCACGCUGUAAAAGAUGAUGAGCUCAGCCAGAGAUUUUUAACGGAUGUGAAGACGUUUCCAGGUGACAGUGUCUCAGCCUGUUGACGGGGGGUUUCGCUGCCGUCCGUCUCCAGAUGUCAACUGCCACGUGGAUGUUGAAGGAAUAUCCAGUCGAUGGCAAUUAAAGAGUUUGCAUAUAUGUUCAAUAGGAACUCAGUUGGCGAGCUGAAGCGAUUAGUCGAUUAAUUGUUCAGGGCAAUUUCCAAGCAAAAAUGCCACAUUUUCUCUGUUUCGCUUCUCAGUUGUGAGGAUUUGCUGCUCUGUUGUCUUGUGAAAUAAUAAACUGAAUAUUUUAUGGUUUUAGGAAAUUGUGAUGAUUUUUCACACAAUUUUUGACCAAACCAUUAAAUCGAUCCAUCGAGAAAAGAAUUGGCGAAGUUUAUAUACAGUGGCAGCCACUCAGGACCAACCAAAGGCCUCUCGGCUGCCAACUCCCAGCCAAUGGGAGUCUCCCCCCUUCCUCCCGUCUCCUGACAGGCGUGUCUAGAGUCCACUGUAAACACGCCCAUUCAUUCAAUGUCUUGGCCCUAACAUGGCCCGACUGGCAUUUCUAGGCGGCUGGAUCUGUAUGGACCUUCUUGGUCACGUGUCGAGUAUACCCGACGACGUUGUCGCUGUACUACACAAAUGUUUUUGGGAGCAUCAAGUCAGUGCACCAUUUUUGUCAGAACAAACCGGAUAAGUCAGGGUUCAGAACCAGAUGUCCACGGAUCCUGAAACCGAGCUCUCUCCCUGCAUCAUUUUUGCAGCCUGGAGCUAUUUCCAGAUGUUAAUGGAAGGGUUGCCCCACCAACCGUUGCCACGCCGACCAGCCAAACACAGAACGGUGCUGAGCGACUCGUUGCCAGGGCAACUGUACUCUGACAACUCAAGUUCUCAGUUUCUGAGGGUGAAGUAGCAGCAUGCCGACCGAAAACUUCUUUACUUUGUUUUCCUCUCUCUCUCUUUCCAUCAACAAACUUGUGAGACUGACGUUUUUAUUUUGUCAUUUCUCCGGAGCUUUUCCUCCAUUAUUCUUCCUCCAACUCCCCAUAAGCCCUCUUUAUCUCUUCCCCUUUUUCCUCUUAGCCAUCUUUACUUUUCUUUUUUCCUCUGCUGUAUCUCCAUCCAUUUCAACCACUCUCCUUUUCACACACCCAUCUUUUCUCACCUUUCCUCCAUCCAUCCCACAUCUGUCCAUCUUUACUUUGCCUUGAAUGCCUCUCCCUCCCUCAUUAUCUCUUUCCACCUUUCCGUCUCUCUCCCGUCACUGCUGUUUCUUUCUUUCUUUCCAUUUGCUGUUUUAAUUUCUUUUUACUCCACUUGUACUUUUUCUUCCUUCCACUUGGCUGGAGUCGCUCUAAAAAUAAAAGCCUCUCAGACGCUGAUUGAUUGGAGGCUCUCAGGACUCCCGUGGUGGGCGACAGAGAACGAGAAAGGAAAGAGAGCGAACUAAAGAAAAACAGAUAGGAGGGAGGAGAGCAGAUGAUGGAGAGCCAAGGUGCGAGGGAUGAAAGAGACAAACGAAGAAAUGGACGAGGAGAGGGAGGAAAAUGAAAUGUGAGUGAAACAAACAUGACAAGCACAAGGGAAGGAUGGGAAUUCAGAAACGAAAGAGGAAAAAGGAAGAAAGAAAAAGGAAGACUUCAUCUGCAAAAGUGAUGGACGGAGAAGAAGACAGAAGGCAUAAAAAGAAAGAUGAAGUGAUAAAGAAAGCCUAAACUGCCCUAUCACAAUCCCACCACCUGAGAAGUUUCCAACUUUUAGUCUGUGAAAUGUUCUGUAAAUUUCAUCUUGAUAAAUGACAAAAGCAUUUUAAAUGCUGUUCACACUGCUAGAGUCUAAUCCUUAUAUCUGCUUAUAACUACAGUGUGUUAGAAAUGAUUUACUAAAUAUUAUACUUAGUGUUUCCUCCUACAGUUUUAAUGCGACCUUGACAAUUAAUGGCAAGUUGUGUGCAAUACUUUGUAGAUAGCUGCUAAAACUGUUUUUAUUGAUUACUGUUAUACUUUAUGAAUUAUUAAUAUUUAAAUCACAACCCCAUAUACAUUAAUAAUACGAGUUUCCCCUCGGAUCAAUAAAGUAUUUCUGAUUCUGA
Molecule: long non-coding RNA, 2747 nt
Organism: Siniperca chuatsi (mandarin fish)
Lineage: Eukaryota; Metazoa; Chordata; Actinopteri; Centrarchiformes; Sinipercidae
Exons: 2
Source: RefSeq, a predicted model, not a curated record